RNAcentral lists this ribosomal RNA (453 nucleotides) under uncultured bacterium. Its description in RNAcentral is "bacterial SSU rRNA". It matches the Rfam family "Bacterial small subunit ribosomal RNA", at positions 8 to 507 of the family's 1533-position model. The record is from RNAcentral.
AGAGUUUGAUCAUGGCUCAGAACGAACGCUGGCGGCAUGCCUAACACAUGCAAGUCGAACGAGACCUUCGGGUCUAGUGGCGCACGGGUGCGUAACGCGUGGGAAUCUGCCCUUGGGUUCGGAAUAACAGUUAGAAAUGACUGCUAAUACCGGAUGAUGUCUUCGGACCAAAGAUUUAUCGCCCAGGGAUGAGCCCGCGUAGGAUUAGCUAGUUGGUGGGGUAAAGGCCUACCAAGGCGACGAUCCUUAGCUGGUCUGAGAGGAUGAUCAGCCACACUGGGACUGAGACACGGCCCAGACUCCUACGGGAGGCAGCAGUGGGGAAUAUUGGACAAUGGGCGAAAGCCUGAUCCAGCAAUGCCGCGUGAGUGAUGAAGGCCUUAGGGUUGUAAAGCUCUUUUACCCGGGAUGAUAAUGACAGUACCGGGAGAAUAAGCCCCGGCUAACUCCGUG